GGGAGAGCAAUCGGACAAGACCCUUUGGUUUGUCGUCUGUUACGGGGGAUUAAAAUGAGACGCCCUCCGACACCAAAAUAUCACCAUCUCUGGGAUGUGGAUGUGGUACUCCGGUUCCUGAAGGAAUGGCCUUCAAAUGAACACUUAUCCUUGAAACAGCUGACGGCGAAAUUCACCUUCCUCCUGAGCCUGGUUUCGUUUCGCCGCGUCUCAGAUAUACGGGCGUUUGAUGCUGAUGCUUUUUCUAUUGGCCCAGAUGGGGUUACAUUCCAACUCUCCCGGAGAACCAAGACUGAUUCGAAGUCGGUAUUUUACCCCUUCUUUACAUCGGAACCCCAGCUAUGUGUGGUUAGGACAUUGAGAACAUAUAUAGAGACAACGGGGUCGCUACGACGACCGAACUCCCGACAACUACUGAUAUCAUACGUGAAACCUCAUGGUCCAGUGUCGACCACCACACUAUCAAGAUGGAUUAGAUGGAUCCUCACCCUGGCGGGGGUGGAAUCGUCCUUCGGAGCGCACUCCGUACGAGGUGCGGCGGCGUCUUCAGCUUUUUUGGCAGGGGCAUCGUUGGCGGA
Pelobates cultripes (western spadefoot toad) is the source of this 578-nucleotide non-coding RNA. NCBI's taxonomy places the organism in Eukaryota, Metazoa, Chordata, Amphibia, Anura, Pelobatidae. The record is from the annotation of a GenBank genome assembly.